AGGGAUCUCUCAUGUUUGUUGCCUCUGUAUUUUGGUUGCUAGUGAAGUUGUAAUGGCUUUUUGAGCACGAACACAAUGUUGUGAAUAUCAUUAAACAUAUUAAAUAAGAUGUACCUUAGGAUUUCCGGUUUCUUUAUCUUGUCUGAAUGAAGUUAUCAAUUUGCUAUUCUAUCAAUAAUUAUUACUAGUGAUAUAAUUGAAACAAAAAUAAUGAAAACAAAUCGACAAAAUAAGUAAAAAUUAAGCAAAAAUAAGUAAAAAUUAAGCAAAAAUAAGUAAAAAUGCAUAUAUAUAAUAAAUUUAUCAUAUUUAUCAAUAUAGUGGUUUUCACUAAAUUCACUAAAAUUGGGAGAUUUCAUAAAUUUACCUUGUAAAAUGCUUUAAAGUAUGUAUUUUCCUAGGAUAAACUAUGCAUUUAUGUAUUUUCUUCCAAAUUAAUUAUGUGUUUAGUGGAUGAUGACAAUACAUUCAAACAACUCUUUUUGAGAAAUAUAUAAAGUAAACCAAUUAAGUAAAUUCAUCACUUAGUCAAAAGUUAUAAAGUUAAAAUUAAAUCAGUGAUAUUUAAUUUAUCUAGUUAUUCUAAUAUUUUUAGUGAGGAGUAAAAUUUAAGGAAAUGAAAAAUUAUAUAAGGAUAUUUAGUUUAUUUUACAUAAAACAUUGUUUAUUCUUAUUAGAGAGAGUUAUAUGUUGUUUGGCGUUUACACUUGUUGUUUUCUUCUUAUUUUCAAGCUAAUCUACUCCCCGAGAUGCGCAUAACAAUGGAGAUUAUGCUUUCGAAAGACAUUAUAUUAUGUGUUUUGGAUACUAAUAUAUGUUGGUAGGUUGACAUAUCAUACUAUUAAUAAAAUGUUAUAAUUUGAUUAGUCAUGGCUAAGACGAAAAUUGCGACUCAAUGCCACAUGACUAAACUUGUCAAAUGAUUAAACGACUGAUGAUUAGACAAAACUUUGAUUUAAAUAAAAUAAAAACAAUACUACUAUUUAUCUCAUUUAGUAAACAAUCAAAUAAAUUAGUUAAAUACUAUAGAUUAUUAUCUCAUAUAGUCUCCUCGGUAACCCGGUCUCUAAACAUCAAAACAAGUAUAGAAAAGUGGUAAACAGAAAGAAACUAGCGAAUGAGAGAACAUAUCACGGCCCACUAAGUUAGUAAACCCCAAUGGGAUUUGGCAAGAUGAAAACUAUUGCACACAAUAUUUACUUCAGUGACAAUUGACACGAUAGAGUGGAAUUGUUAAACCAAAUAGGAUCAAACUUCAUCAUUGCUAAUUAGAAAUCGUUUUAAAACUGCGAUUAAUGGGUUGCACAAAGUCCUUGCGAUUGUGGGAGACGAACGUGAGCACAAUGCAUAAUUAGCAAAGAAAUUUCGAUGGCUAACCCCUAAAAUAAAAUUGAUUAAUAUUAUGUGAAUGCAAUGCGCCACUGAUACUAACUACACAGAAUUGAUCUUUAGCCUAGAGUCCAAAAAAGUUUUGCUUCAUACAGCCGCAGGCUUUGUGUUGCUGUAUUCUUUCGAUGUGGGACUAGUUAGCUAAUAACUCAGCUUAGUAUACGUUAGGCUUUAAGUAAAUUCAGACGUUGUCCAUGAUAAUGUUUUCUAGCCCUCUAAGCCAUACAAAUUUCGAUUUAGGAACAAAAGUUUGAAGCUUAUGGAUUGUUAGAGUUGAUCUCAUAUGAGACAGACAACUCUCCAAAAAUAGGUGUAUGCCGCUUGGUACGACAAGCCCACGGUAUUCUUUAGUAAAAGGCGAAAGUUCACUAUGUGCUUAUCGCACGGCUCCGUGAGCUCUCCUUAAAGGCUCUCUCGAUAUUAUAUAUGUCUAGCUCUCAGUGUCCUGCUCUGUACAUUUACGAUGUGGGACUAAAAACGCUAUGCAUAAAAAAAUUGCUUCUCUCAUUUCUCUGUCGAUAUUGCAGUCUCAACGCAUGUCAUUAAAUCAAAUUGAAUAAUACAUGUGUGUGCUGUUUUUACUAUUUUUCGAUUUCCCCUUUUUGUAGUUGUGAUGUCACUUAGAUCUAAAUUUAGAAUUCACGGAGUAGGGACGAUAGAAUUCAUAUAGUACAAAACUUUCCUUUGUACUAGGCUACAAGCUGAGAAGUACAAUGUCGACAUUUCUUUUAUCAAUUAUUUUUGCUUUUAUCAAUUUUUGUAGUACACAAAGUCUCUUGUUUCACUUGUACUAUACAAGACUCAACUGACUGCAACAUAAACUUGGCCCUUGUACUACAAUUUUCUGUGGUAUAUUAUUGUGUGUACUACCCAAUCCUUUCGUAAUGUGUGUAUUUAUAGUUCCCAUAGGAACCAAAUCUCAAAUUGUAAUAAUAUCAAUUAUUGCUAAAGUGAAGAGAGGGAAUAUCUUCAAGGUCACCCCUGCUGAGCUCCUUCUCUACCCUCCAUCUUUAUCAAACGCUCGGUCGCUUCAUUAAUUCACCAAAUGGUAAGUUUCUAUGUAGAUUACAUCUUUGUAGUGCAAAUUACAAGUACAAAUAUAAUAACUCUUUGUAAUCUUACGUACCUAUGUAUGAUAUAUGAUUUUGAAUGGUUAAGGAUCUACUACUUUAACUGUCUUGCUCUUUGUCCUUCAACAAGAUAGACUGCCGAAGACACAGAUGAAGAAAGAAACCCACAAUGAGUUCCAUCAAAAUGUUUGUGAUGUUAUUUCUUAGCUUCAGGGAUAAAUGUUAAAGAAAGCUAACCUCACGGAGGAGGCGGAGAGCGGCGGGACGAGUGAACUUCCGUGCAAAGAGGAAACACGGUGCCGGUUUCCCUUUACUAGUACACCAUUCUCGCCUGUAUUCCGUCUCAUAGUUGAUAUUGUCGAUUCCCUAUGAGUCCAAUAUGUUUUGUUAGAGUUUAUUUUCCUGUUUUAAGCUUGUAAAAGAGUUUAAAGCCAGAGAAAACGAAGGUACAUGUUGUGAUGGGAAGAAAUUCUUACUUAUGCCAAAUAGAAUGUUGCUCAACAGUUCUAAUA
This is a long non-coding RNA of Brassica napus (rape), 2971 nucleotides long. RefSeq lists it as uncharacterized. NCBI's taxonomy places the organism in Eukaryota, Viridiplantae, Streptophyta, Magnoliopsida, Brassicales, Brassicaceae. The record is from RefSeq and is a predicted model, not a curated record. The transcript has 2 exons.